Molecule: long non-coding RNA, 578 nt
Filed under: Homo sapiens (human)
Lineage: Eukaryota; Metazoa; Chordata; Mammalia; Primates; Hominidae
Description: HSALNT0331551
Source: RNAcentral
CACUGACAAGGGACUCCCACGCACAGAGUCCAUUUCCCUAGAACGUUAUAAUCAGUCUUCCAGAUCCUUGGCCACUCAGAGGAGCACCUCGCACGUUUCAAAAGGUCGUUAAUGUUCCUCCUGCCCCUUCACUGAUGCUGACUGUGCCAGGCCAUCCUCUGAGCUCUGAUCUAGAGGAGCGCUGUAAGGCAGAGGCUGCAUAAAGAACCUGGCCUCCAUGAGUAGGAAUCCAGAAACACACUUGGCAGUCCAGCCCAUCUCUCCCAUGGGGUGGCCUUGGGAUAAAGAGCAUGGGCCCUUCUGCAGUGACAAAACUCAGAACUGUUGGAAAGUCAUGGACCUCACAGAAUCCUGAAAACAAAAAGAGAGCUGUGCUUCAUGAGUCACCUCUGACUUCAAGAGGAGCUGUCUUUUCCCUUGGCCCCAUUGCACGUGUUUUCCAGAACCACAACACCCUGCGAUGUCUGUAUCUGUGCCUGUCACUGUCUUAUUUAAGAAAACCCCAAACCACAUGAAUUGUGAUAAACAAAAGUAUUUUGAAUUCCACCCUUUAGGCUUAUUAUGACAUAAAAAAUCAU